This is a non-coding RNA of Dama dama (fallow deer), 489 nucleotides long. Lineage: Eukaryota; Metazoa; Chordata; Mammalia; Artiodactyla; Cervidae. The record is from the annotation of a RefSeq genome assembly.
GACGCCCUGACCAUGUCCACCAUGGCCUGGUCCCCUCUGGUCCUCACCCUGGUCGCUCUCUGCACAGGAUCCUGGGCCCAGGCUGUGCUGACCCAGCCGCCCUCCGUGUCCGCGUCCCCGGGCCAGAGGGUCACCAUCUCCUGCACCGGAAGCAGCAGCAACAUUGGGCUAUUGGGUGUGAGCUGGUACCAACACCUCCCAGGAUCAGCCCCGAAAACCCUGAUCUAUGAUAGUAACAAACGACCCGCGGGGGUCCCCGACCCAUUCUCUGGCACCAAGUCUGGCAACACAGGCACCCUGACCAUCACUUCGCUGCAGGCUGCGGACGAUGCUGAUUAUUACUGUGCAUCUUAUGACACUAGCAGCAAUGAUGGCACAGUGUUCCAGGCCAGACAGGAAGUGAUGCAAAAACCUCCUGUCCUCGCAGAGUCUGGGCUCUGGGGGCAGAAACAUCCUCUGCAAAGGCAGCUGCUUCAUUUGUCUCUUUGA